GACGAACGCUGGCGGCGUGCCUAAUACAUGCAAGUUGAGCGCUGAAGGUUGGUACUUGUACCAACUGGAUGAGCAGCGAACGGGUGAGUAACGCGUGGGGAAUCUGCCUUUGAGCGGGGGACAACAUUUGGAAACGAAUGCUAAUACCGCAUAAAAACUUUAAACACAAGUUUUAAGUUUGAAAGAUGCAAUUGCAUCACUCAAAGAUGAUCCCGCGUUGUAUUAGCUAGUUGGUGAGGUAAAGGCUCACCAAGGCGAUGAUACAUAGCCGACCUGAGAGGGUGAUCGGCCACAUUGGGACUGAGACACGGUCCAAACUCCUACGGGAGGCAGCAGUAGGGAAUCUUCGGCAAUGGACGAAAGUCUGACCGAGCAACGCCGCGUGAGUGAAGAAGGUUUUCGGAUCGUAAAACUCUGUUGGUAGAGAAGAACGUUGGUGAGAGUGGAAAGCUCAUCAAGUGACGGUAACUACCCAGAAAGGGACGGCUAACUACGUG
This 497-nucleotide ribosomal RNA is filed under the name uncultured bacterium. RNAcentral describes it as "partial 16S ribosomal RNA". It matches the Rfam family "Bacterial small subunit ribosomal RNA", at positions 28 to 507 of the family's 1533-position model. The record is from RNAcentral.